Scylla paramamosain (green mud crab) is the source of this 1486-nucleotide long non-coding RNA. RefSeq lists it as uncharacterized. The transcript has 3 exons. NCBI's taxonomy places the organism in Eukaryota, Metazoa, Arthropoda, Malacostraca, Decapoda, Portunidae. The record is from RefSeq and is a predicted model, not a curated record.
GCUCUCCCCAACCUCCUCCCCACUCAAUUCUCUCCCUCAGGUCCUCUCCAAUGCGAUCCUUCCACCUUUUGGUCUGUCACGUCAAUCCUCUGCCUUCUAUCUCUAUAUCCGUGCCUUCUUCUGGCCCUCUGAUGUGACCGGACUAUUCUCCUGUCUUGUACUAUCACCUCCGUUACUUUGUUCCUCUUAUAAAACUAUUUCUCACUUAAUUCCUCCUUGUCACCCCAAGCAUCCGUCUUAAUACUCGUCUCUGUAAUCUCCAACUUGUUCUAUCUGCUUUCCCUAUUGGCUACGUCUCCGUAUCUUAUGACAAUGCGGGUUUAACUACCGAUUUGAACACUUUCCCCUUCAAUGUGACACUUAAUUUUCCGGUUCCAAUUCUUCUAACCUGAUUGGACCAAGUUCUCCAAUGCGUUUCUCCUGUUAAUAAAAUAGCAAACAUAUUAAUCUGUCACUAGAACCAUAAAAAAAUUAAAAAAACAUCUUUAAAAACCAGUACAACCUUCAUUAGAGUCAUUAGUAUUAGAGACACAGCUAACUGUUUCAAAAUAUGGUUCGUUAAGUCUUUCAGCGUGUCAUGCCCGCUCAGUUCACUUCACCAGUAGCAGCGGCGGUGAGAGGUCAAGGUGUAGGUCUCGUGGCUUGACGCAGCUCUUGAAGGAAUUAAAUGGCUCCUCCUUGGCCAAUCAGCACCGAGGCAAAGUUGAUUGAUAUACAGGUGUGAAUUCAGCUGCCUCCUCGCUGUUCCCGUUGCCAGGAUACCAUGUGAUCGAGGCAGUGUUGGGGAAGGUGAAAUUAUUCAUCAGGUGUGACGUGUGCUGCUUCACUCCAUCCCAUGAACAGUUGCCCACAGGAAUCUCUACCACAUCAGGCCUGACAUACUCAUUGCAAUCAGGGAGUAGAGUUUCAUCAGGAAGAGGGGCUGUGUCACUACCUGUAAGCCUGACGAGGUGUUAGUUAAGUCAAGGAGCGUCAUCAGGAAGAGGGGCCGAGUCUUGCUACCUGUAAGCCUGACAAGAGGAGUCAAAGAGGAGUCAAGGAAUUUUUCAUUGCAAUCAAGGAAGAGUCAAGUUGUAAGAAGAUUGUAAGGCAAGAAUUUUAAGCAGGAAUAAUUGUCAAGCAGUUAACAGCAGGAAGAAUGCAGCGAGAAAAGGGUACAAGAGUUUUCAAGUAAGAAGAUUGUAAGGCAAGAAUUUUGAGCAGGAAGGAUAUUGUUAAACAGUUUAGCAGCAGGAAGAGUCCCUUCAAGCUGUUGGUGGGAGUGACAAGCAUCCUUCAGGACUUGCAAAGGCUGAAGUCCUCAACAUUAGUCUCACUCAAGUUGACACAGGAGCUCUCUGACACAAGGAAAACAAAUCAUUUAUCCUAUGGUGUAUUUAUUAAACUUUUGUGAUUAAACAAUAAUGAUAAAACAAUAUAUAUAUUAUCUUGUACAUACUUAGGGAAUGAUUAAACAAUAAUGAUUUAUUAAACAAUAUAUAUAUUA